CCUACGGGUGGCAGCAGUGAGGAAUAUUGGUCAAUGGACGAGAGUCUGAACCAGCCAAGUAGCGUGAAGGAUGACUGCCCUAUGGGUUGUAAACUUCUUUUAUAUGGGACUCAAAUGUUCCACGUGUGGGAUUUUGUAUGUACCAUAUGAAUCAUGAUCGGCUAACUCCGUGCCAGCAGCCGCGGUAAGACGGAGGAUCCGAGCGUUAUCCGGAUUUAUUGGGUUUAAAGGGAGCGUAGGUGGAUUGUUAAGUCAGUUGUGAAAGUUUGCGGCUCAACCGUAAAAUUGCAGUUGAGACUGGCAGUCUUGAGUACAGUAGAGGUGGGCGGAAUUCGUGGUGUAGCGGUGAAAUGCUUAGAUAUCACGAAGAACUCCGAUUGCGAAGGCAGUUCACUGGACUGCAACUGACACUGAGGCUCGAAAGUGUGGGUAUCAAACAGGAUUAGAUACCCCAGUAGUC
Molecule: ribosomal RNA, 460 nt
Filed under: uncultured bacterium
Lineage: Bacteria
Description: partial 16S ribosomal RNA
Rfam family: Bacterial small subunit ribosomal RNA
Source: RNAcentral